This 781-nucleotide long non-coding RNA is filed under the name Rattus norvegicus (Norway rat). RNAcentral's name for it is "long non-coding RNA NONRATT029847". Lineage: Eukaryota; Metazoa; Chordata; Mammalia; Rodentia; Muridae. The record is from RNAcentral.
UUUCUUUUUAUAGGUAAGUUGAGUCCAUUAAUAUUGAGAGAUAUUAAUGACAGAUGACUGGUGGUUCCUGUUAUAUUUGUUUUUGUACCUUGCUUUAUAUGCUUGUGGUUCUCUCCUUUUGGCUUAAUAUCUUAUCUUUUCUUUGGUGUAGGUACCGUCUUUGUGUUGGAGUUCUCCUUCUAGGAUCCUCUGUAGGGCUGAAUUGGUAUAUAGAUACUGUUUCAAUUUGGUUUUGUCUGGAGUAAUUUGGUUCCUCCAUCUAUGUUGAUUCAGAGUUUUCCUGGGUGUAGUAUCCUGUGCUGGCACUUUUGUUCUCUUCCAGUCUGCAUGACCUCUGACCAGGCUCUUCUGGCUUUUACAAUCUCUGUUGUGAAGCCUGGUGUAAUUCGGAUAAGCUUACUUUUGUAUGUUACUUGGUCUAUUUCCCUUCAGCUUUUUUUUUUCCUUUUCUUUUUUUCAGAUCUGGGGACCGAACCUAGGGCCUUGCGCUUGCUAGGCAAGCGCUCCACCACUGAGCUAAAUCCCCAACCCCUCCCUUCAGCUUUUAAUAUUCUUUAUUCUAUGCAUUUAGUGUUUUGAUUAUUAAGUGAUUAAGGGAUUUUCUUUUCUUGUUCCAUUAGUUUGGUGUUCUACAGGAUUUUUGUAUCUUUAUGUCCUUCUCUUUCUUUUGGUUGGGUAAGUUUUCUUCUAUGAUUUUGUUGAAGAUAUUUUCAGGCCCUUUAAGCUGGGAAUUUUUGUUCUCCUCUAUUCCUAUUAUUCUUAGAUUUGAUCUUUUCAUUGU